Molecule: ribosomal RNA, 2928 nt
Filed under: Bacillus amyloliquefaciens
Lineage: Bacteria; Bacillati; Bacillota; Bacilli; Caryophanales; Bacillaceae
Also listed under: 1 other name
Description: 23S ribosomal RNA
Rfam family: Bacterial large subunit ribosomal RNA
Source: RNAcentral
GGUUAAGUUAGAAAGGGCGCACGGUGGAUGCCUUGGCACUAGGAGCCGAUGAAGGACGGGACGAACACCGAUAUGCUUCGGGGAGCUGUAAGCAAGCUUUGAUCCGGAGAUUUCCGAAUGGGGAAACCCACCACUCGUAAUGGAGUGGUAUCCAUAUCUGAAUACAUAGGAUAUGAGAAGGCAGACCCGGGGAACUGAAACAUCUAAGUACCCGGAGGAAGAGAAAGCAAAUGCGAUUCCCUGAGUAGCGGCGAGCGAAACGGGACCAGCCCAAACCAAGAGGCUUGCCUCUUGGGGUUGUAGGACACUCUGUACGGAGUUACAAAGGAACGAGGUAGAUGAAGAGGUCUGGAAAGGCCCGCCAUAGGAGGUAACAGCCCUGUAGUCAAAACUUCGUUCUCUCCUGAGUGGAUCCUGAGUACGGCGGAACACGUGAAAUUCCGUCGGAAUCCGGGAGGACCAUCUCCCAAGGCUAAAUACUCCCUAGUGACCGAUAGUGAACCAGUACCGUGAGGGAAAGGUGAAAAGCACCCCGGAAGGGGAGUGAAAGAGAUCCUGAAACCGUGUGCCUACAAGUAGUCAGAGCCCGUUAACGGGUGAUGGCGUGCCUUUUGUAGAAUGAACCGGCGAGUUACGAUCCCGUGCAAGGUUAAGCAGAAGAUGCGGAGCCGCAGCGAAAGCGAGUCUGAAUAGGGCGAAUUGAGUACGUGGUCGUAGACCCGAAACCAGGUGAUCUACCCAUGUCCAGGGUGAAGUUCAGGUAACACUGAAUGGAGGCCCGAACCCACGCACGUUGAAAAGUGCGGGGAUGAGGUGUGGGUAGGGGUGAAAUGCCAAUCGAACCUGGAGAUAGCUGGUUCUCUCCGAAAUAGCUUUAGGGCUAGCCUCAAGGUAAGAGUCUCGGAGGUAGAGCACUGAUUGGACUAGGGGCCCCUACCGGGUUACCGAAUUCAGUCAAACUCCGAAUGCCGAUGACUUAUCCUUGGGAGUCAGACUGCGAGUGAUAAGAUCCGUAGUCGAAAGGGAAACAGCCCAGACCGCCAGCUAAGGUCCCAAAGUAUACGUUAAGUGGAAAAGGAUGUGGAGUUGCUUAGACAACCAGGAUGUUGGCUUAGAAGCAGCCACCAUUUAAAGAGUGCGUAAUAGCUCACUGGUCGAGUGACUCUGCGCCGAAAAUGUACCGGGGCUAAACGUAUCACCGAAGCUGCGGACUGUUCUUCGAACAGUGGUAGGAGAGCGUUCUAAGGGCUGUGAAGCAAGACCGGAAGGACUUGUGGAGCGCUUAGAAGUGAGAAUGCCGGUAUGAGUAGCGAAAGAGGGGUGAGAAUCCCCUCCACCGAAUGCCUAAGGUUUCCUGAGGAAGGCUCGUCCGCUCAGGGUUAGUCGGGACCUAAGCCGAGGCCGAAAGGCGUAGGCGAUGGAUAACAGGUUGAUAUUCCUGUACCACCUCCUCACCAUUUGAGCAAUGGGGGACGCAGGAGGAUAGGGUAAGCGCGGUAUUGGAUAUCCGCGUCCAAGCAGUUAGGCUGGGAAAUAGGCAAAUCCGUUUCCCGUGAAGGCUGAGCUGUGAUGGCGAGCGAAUUAUAGUAGCGAAGUUCCUGAUUCCACACUGCCAAGAAAAGCCUCUAGCGAGGUGAGAGGUGCCCGUACCGCAAACCGACACAGGUAGGCGAGGAGAGAAUCCUAAGGUGAUCGAGAGAACUCUCGUUAAGGAACUCGGCAAAAUGACCCCGUAACUUCGGGAGAAGGGGUGCUCUGUUAGGGUGCAAGCCCGAGAGAGCCGCAGUGAAUAGGCCCAGGCGACUGUUUAGCAAAAACACAGGUCUCUGCGAAGCCGUAAGGCGAAGUAUAGGGGCUGACGCCUGCCCGGUGCUGGAAGGUUAAGAGGAGCGCUUAGCGUAAGCGAAGGUGCGAAUUGAAGCCCCAGUAAACGGCGGCCGUAACUAUAACGGUCCUAAGGUAGCGAAAUUCCUUGUCGGGUAAGUUCCGACCCGCACGAAAGGCGCAACGAUCUGGGCACUGUCUCAACGAGAGACUCGGUGAAAUUAUAGUACCUGUGAAGAUGCAGGUUACCCGCGACAGGACGGAAAGACCCCGUGGAGCUUUACUGCAGCCUGAUAUUGAAUGUUGGUACAGCUUGUACAGGAUAGGUAGGAGCCUUGGAAACCGGAGCGCCAGCUUCGGUGGAGGCAUCGGUGGGAUACUACCCUGGCUGUAUUGACCUUCUAACCCGCCGCCCUUAUCGGGCGGGGAGACAGUGUCAGGUGGGCAGUUUGACUGGGGCGGUCGCCUCCUAAAAGGUAACGGAGGCGCCCAAAGGUUCCCUCAGAAUGGUUGGAAAUCAUUCGCAGAGUGUAAAGGCACAAGGGAGCUUGACUGCGAGACCUACAAGUCGAGCAGGGACGAAAGUCGGGCUUAGUGAUCCGGUGGUUCCGCAUGGAAGGGCCAUCGCUCAACGGAUAAAAGCUACCCCGGGGAUAACAGGCUUAUCUCCCCCAAGAGUCCACAUCGACGGGGAGGUUUGGCACCUCGAUGUCGGCUCAUCGCAUCCUGGGGCUGUAGUCGGUCCCAAGGGUUGGGCUGUUCGCCCAUUAAAGCGGUACGCGAGCUGGGUUCAGAACGUCGUGAGACAGUUCGGUCCCUAUCCGUCGCGGGCGCAGGAAAUUUGAGAGGAGCUGUCCUUAGUACGAGAGGACCGGGAUGGACGCACCGCUGGUGUACCAGUUGUUCUGCCAAGGGCAUCGCUGGGUAGCUAUGUGCGGACGGGAUAAGUGCUGAAAGCAUCUAAGCAUGAAGCCCCCUCAAGAUGAGAUUUCCCAUUCCGCAAGGAAGUAAGAUCCCUGAAAGAUGAUCAGGUUGAUAGGUCUGAGGUGGAAGUGUGGCGACACAUGGAGCUGACAGAUACUAAUCGAUCGAGGACUUAACCAA